UUCCAGACUCCUACGGGAGGCAGCAGUGGGGGAUAUUGCACAAUGGGGGCAACCCUGAUGCAGCGACGCCGCGUGAGCGAUGGAGUACUUCGGUAUGUAAAGCUCUGUCAGCAGGGAAGAGAAUGACGGUACCUGACCAAGAAGCCCCGGCUAAAUACGUGCCAGCAGCCGCGGUAAUACGUAUGGGGCAAGCGUUAUCCGGAUUUACUGGGUGUAAAGGGAGCGUAGACGGCAGCACAAGUCUGGAGUGAAAUCCCGGGGCUUAACCCCGGAACUGCUUUGGAAACUGUGCGGCUGGAGUGCAGGAGGGGUAAGCGGAAUUCCUAGUGUAGCGGUGAAAUGCGUAGAUAUUAGGAGGAACACCGGUGGCGAAGGCGGCUUACUGGACUGUAACUGACGUUGAGGCUCGAAAGCGUGGGGAGCAAACAGGAUUAGAUACCCUGGUA
RNAcentral lists this ribosomal RNA (446 nucleotides) under uncultured bacterium. Its description in RNAcentral is "bacterial SSU rRNA". It matches the Rfam family "Bacterial small subunit ribosomal RNA", at positions 329 to 792 of the family's 1533-position model. The record is from RNAcentral.